UCGUGCAGCCGGGGUGUUAGCGGUACCUUGUACCUGCAAUCCGCUAUAGCAGGGGUGAUAUUGCGCAGAGGGCGGCAGCUGGCAGAGCUGCCCCCGGUAAGUGAUGUUGAUGUCCGGGUCUCACGCGACGGGAAUCUGUGAACCGUGUCAGGUCGGGAACGGAGCAGCACUAAGCAGAACCUUCCGGGUGCCGUGAGGGUGCCUGGGCUGAGUUAACUGCCGGGGUAACGUCUGUUGGCCAUGUUCGAAGCGCAAUGCACGU
This is a non-coding RNA of Lachnoclostridium sp. An169, 262 nucleotides long. It matches the Rfam family "Bacterial large signal recognition particle RNA". From Rfam's summary of the family: The signal recognition particle (SRP) is a universally conserved ribonucleoprotein involved in the co-translational targeting of proteins to membranes. Lineage: Bacteria; Bacillati; Bacillota; Clostridia; Lachnospirales; Lachnospiraceae. The record is from Rfam.